AAUUUUAGCGCAGAACCAUCAUUAAGUUCUUGAAUAGUUUGGACUGAUGCUUUUCCAUAUGAUUUGGUACCCAUAAUCAUUGCUCUUUUGUGAUCUUGUAAUGCACCCGCUACAAUUUCAGAUGCUGAUGCUGAACCCUCAUUUAUAAGAACUAUCAAUGGAAGUCCAUCAAUAAUAUCUUGUGGUGAUGCAAAAUAUUCUAAUUUUGAUUUAUAUGUUCGACCCUUCGUAUAGACUAUUUUACCUUCGGUCAAGAAUAGGUCGCUUAUACCUACAGCU
This 279-nucleotide non-coding RNA is filed under the name marine eukaryotic metagenome. The record is from RNAcentral.